This 468-nucleotide ribosomal RNA is filed under the name uncultured bacterium. Its description in RNAcentral is "partial 16S ribosomal RNA". It matches the Rfam family "Bacterial small subunit ribosomal RNA", at positions 28 to 507 of the family's 1533-position model. The record is from RNAcentral.
GAUGAACGCUGGCGGCGUGCUUAACACAUGCAAGUCGAACGGAAAGGCCCAAGCUUGCUUGGGUACUCGAGUGGCGAACGGGUGAGUAACACGUGGGUGAUCUGCCCUGCACUUCGGGAUAAGCCUGGGAAACUGGGUCUAAUACUGGAUAGGACCACUUCUUGGAUGGUGUGGUGGAAAGUUUUUUCGGUGUGGGAUGAGCUCGCGGCCUAUCAGCUUGUUGGUGGGGUAAUGGCCUACCAAGGCGUCGACGGGUAGCCGGCCUGAGAGGGUGUACGGCCACAUUGGGACUGAGAUACGGACCAGACUCCUACGGGAGGCAGCAGUGGGGAAUAUUGCACAAUGGGCGCAAGCCUGAUGCAGCGACGCCGCGUGGGGGAUGACGGCCUUCGGGUUGUAAACUCCUUUCGCUAGGGACGAAGCGUUUUUGUGACGGUACCUGGAGAAGAAGCACCGGCUAACUACGUG